Long non-coding RNA from Manis javanica (Malayan pangolin), 3307 nucleotides. RefSeq lists it as uncharacterized. The record is from RefSeq and is a predicted model, not a curated record. NCBI's taxonomy places the organism in Eukaryota, Metazoa, Chordata, Mammalia, Pholidota, Manidae.
UCACCUGGUCAGGGUUUCAGGGAAAAUUUCUUUCAGAGGAGAUUUCUGAACUGAGAGCCAAAGGCUGUGUAGGUGUCAGCCACGUGAAGAGGGAGGGAAGAACAUUAUUCCAGGUGGAGGAAAGCACACGUGCAAAGGCCAUGUAGCUGGAGACACCGUGCUGCUGACAGGGAGCUGAAAGGAGGCCAGUGGAAUACAGAAAAGAAGCACUAUGGUGGAAGAAGAGGCUGAAAGGUACAAAAUGCCGGCAUUAUGGUACUGUUGCUUUAUUCAUUUGAACCAUCACUAAGGUCUUAUAAAAAUGGCUGGGAGAAAUAGGUGACCAGUCUGUGAUUGAGCUCACUUGUGGACAGACGGUGUUACACCUGAAGAUAUAUCACAGUCCAUUCAUUCAUCGAAGAACUUACGCUGUUUCCAAUUUGGGAGAGACUUUAUGAAGAGAGCUGCUAUGUAAACAUCUGUGAACAGAUUUUUGUGUGAACAUAGCUUUCAUUUCUCCUAAGAGUGGGAGUUGCUGAGUCAUAUGCAGCCCUGAAGUCCAAGCAGACAGACGUGACAUAAGUUGGGCUACUGGGGUGCUGAAAUGGACCACCCACCUCCUCACUGCAGGAAGGAAGGAUUUGUUCCCGCAGCUACUUGGGAGUACUACCAGAAAUGGCCCUCAGUUACCAUCCCACUUGGUGAUUGCCAGCACACUGCCUCACCUGGGUCACACACUCUUUUUCCAGCUUGGCUUAUAUCCAAUGCCUUGUGAAUGUGGAUGACGGGGGAGUCCUCUAGCCAACUUAGGACAGCUCUGAAGGGUCAUCUACACUGCCGAGCUUUCUUUAGGGUGAGACAAAGUCUUAAUGGAGGCUGCAUUAUCGCCAACUUUCCCCACUACCAAUGCUGUUUCCUUCCUCUCCCUUCCACAGGAUCUGAUCCCAAGAGCCUUAGAAAUGUUCUGCAUGCCAAUCUUCACCUCAAGACAUGCUUCCUAAGGAACUCAACCUUUUUCAACUCUUUGGGUUGCACAUGGUCAGAACCAAACUAUCAUAAGGAAAGGAGGAAAAUCAUUAAAAGAUCUUGGGUUAUCUCAAGCUGCAUUACAAACAGUGGGAAAAGGAGAGGUGUAGUCCAGAUCAGAAACAACUCAAACUGCAGGGUGCAGCCACCAGAUCACUCUCUCACAUUCUCUCACUUUUUCCUUCUGUCACUUGCUCUAUCUAUGGUCUCUGUUUCUUUUUGUCAGCUAGAUAAAUUCUAACACUGUAGAUUCUCUACUUCUCCUAGAUAAGAAAUAUGGCUGCUAUAGUUUACACUUGCGUAUUCCUGUCAUCAGGUAAGGAUGAAGUCUUCUUCUCAAAACAGUUUGUAAAGUCUUAUGAAGCAUUCUGUUUGUCCAGAUUUGCAUCCAUUUCCAAGGACUGAACCUGGUGUCAGGCAGGGGAUGCUAAGAACAUGCUAACUCCCUGAAAUCACUUGGUAAGAAAGGAGAGCACUUCCCAAAGAGGGAGGCUUGUCUUUUUAGGGUCUAGGGAAAUAAUAUGUAUAGGAGUGAGCUGAUGUGCUCUGAGUGGAAAUCUCUUUAAUAUAUCAUUAUUGAAAAGAUAUCAUUGCUAUAAUAAUUUACUAUCUACCAAGUACUUUGCAGUUCAAACACAUCUUUAUCUUGUCUUAUUUUUUUACCUUUACAAGAUUUUUAAAUAUAUGCACAACUGGUGAUGUACCUUUUUAAAAAUCACAUGGCUACUACGAAUUAGAUCUGCAGUUCAAACUAGAUCUUCUAAUUCCAAAUCCAACUGGAAAAAUUGUCCACCUGUAUACCUAGUUACCAAUUCUUUUCCCCCAAAAAGCAUGAAUCUUAAUAGCUCCCCCCUUCAAGAAGAUCUACACAUUUCCUUUCCCUAAAGCAGUUCAUAAUGCAUUCAUAUGUGUGCUGCUUAUUGGUUGCACUUAAACCUCAUCAGAAUAAGUGAUGGCUUAUAAUGUCCAUUAAUUAGCACAGAAAUCACUCUUCCAUCAAUUUUGAAAAUGAAACAAAGAUCAAAAAUCAAUAUUGUCUGAAUUCCCACCGGCAAAUAAUGUUUCCUAAUGGUCAGUUAAAACAAAUGCAUUAUUUUACAAAGUCCACUCUCAAAAUACACGUCAGACCAAUAAAUCAUUUGUUUGAUCAAGAGAUAACCAUUUUUAUUUUUAUUUUCUAGCACUUUUCCCUCUACAUCAGGAGUAAUAUUACAAUAUAGUUUUGGUUUCUGCAUUUGGUUUCACUUAAGAUUAGCCUGAGUAUUUUUUAUACUUGAAUUUACAUUUUAAUCUAGUCAUAACAUAACAUAGAUAAAAAGUGUAUAUUGUUAAAGGAAAAUCUUGACAUAUAUAGAUGUAUCCCAUGCAACCCAACCACCACUUAGAUCAAGAUGCAGAUCAAAGUUUCUGUUCUGUCUCUUCUAGUCUAUCUAGUCUUCAGAGGUAAUAUUCUGAUUACUAUCACCAUUGGUGUGUUUUGCCUGUUCUUAAGGUUUUUCAUUCAACUUAAUGUGUAUGAUAUUCAUUCAUAUUGUGUUAUGUACCAUUAGUUCAUUCUUUUUUACUGCUGAGUAGAAUUCCAUUAUAUGAACACAUCACAAUUUAUUUAUCCAUUCUAUUGAUGAGCAUUUGGGUAGUUCCCAACUUUUAGCAAUUAUGAAUAAAAUUACUUGAAACAAUCUUGUCCUUAUUCUGUGUGCAUAAAUGUAUGGACUCAUUUUUCUUGAAUAUAUACCCAGGAAUUGAAUUGCUGGGUCAGAGGAGAGGUUUAUGUUCACAAAAACAGCCAGUGUUCCAAAGGACUUACAUCACUCAGAAUUUGCACCAGCAAAAUAUGGGAAUUCCAUUUGUUUGUUAUCUUCAACAGUAGUUGGUAUGGUCAGUCUUUUUAGUUUCAGCUACUUGGUGGGGGGAAGAGUAUCACAUUGUUAUUUUACUUUGCAUUUCCAUAGUGACGAUGUUGGUCACCUUUUCAUGUAAUUGUUGACUGUUUGGAUAUCCUCCUUUGUCAAAUGCUUAGUCAUUUGUCAUUUUUAAAUUUGAUUUUUUUCUUUUGCUUAUUAAUUUGAGGGGGUUCUUUUUAUAUUCUGGACGUUAAUCAGUUAUAUGUAUUGCAAAUAUCUUCUUCCCUUCUAUCUUAUAUAAAGAGCAUAAUGUUUCCCUUUAAUGAUGGUUUUGAUGAACAGAAGUUUUAUUUUUUACAUUUAGGGGUAUAAUAUAUCUCAAAUUAAUUUUUAUGUGGUAUAUAGAGAUCAGAGUUCAUGUUUUACCCAUCUAAAUAUCUAAUUGGUCUAGCACUACU